RNAcentral lists this ribosomal RNA (470 nucleotides) under Asterionellopsis glacialis. RNAcentral describes it as "partial Bacterial small subunit ribosomal RNA". It matches the Rfam family "Bacterial small subunit ribosomal RNA", at positions 343 to 825 of the family's 1533-position model. Lineage: Eukaryota; Bacillariophyta; Plagiogrammaphyceae; Rhaphoneidales; Asterionellopsidaceae. The record is from RNAcentral.
GGGAGGCAGCAGGUGGGAAUAUUGCACAAUGGGCGCAAGCCUGAUGCAGCGACGCCGCGUGAGGGAUGACGGCCUUCGGGUUGUAAACCUCUUUCAGUAGGGAAGAAGCGAAAGUGACGGUACCUGCAGAAGAAGCACCGGCCAACUACGUGCCAGCAGCCGCGGUAAUACGUAGGGUGCGAGCGUUAUCCGGAAUUAUUGGGCGUAAAGAGCUCGUAGGCGGUUUGUCGCGUCUGUCGUGAAAGUCCGGGGCUUAACCCCGGAUCUGCGGUGGGUACGGGCAGACUAGAGUGCAGUAGGGGAGACUGGAAUUCCUGGUGUAGCGGUGAAAUGCGCAGAUAUCAGGAGGAACACCGGUGGCGAAGGCGGGUCUCUGGGCCGAUACUGACGCUGAGGAGCGAAAGCAUGGGGAGCGAACAGGAUUAGAUACCCUGGUAGUCCAUGCCGUAAACGUUGGGCGCUAGGUGUGG